CAGCAGCCGCGGGAAUACGGAGGGUGCAAGCGUUAAUCGGAAUUACUGGGCGUAAGGCGCACGUAGGCGGCUUGGUAAGUUAGAGGUGAAAGCCCGGAGCUCAACUCCGGAAUUGCCUUUAAGACUGCCGAGCUAGUAGGUGAGAGAGGUAAGUGGAAUUCCGAGUGUAGAGGUGAAAUUCGUAGAUAUUCGGAAGAACACCAAUGGCGAAGGCGGCUUACUGGCUCAUUCUAGACGCUGAGGUGCGAAAGCGUGGGGAGCAAACAGGAUUAGAUACCCCAGUAGUCCCUGUCUCUUAUAC
RNAcentral lists this ribosomal RNA (301 nucleotides) under uncultured bacterium. RNAcentral describes it as "partial 16S ribosomal RNA". It matches the Rfam family "Bacterial small subunit ribosomal RNA", at positions 509 to 807 of the family's 1533-position model. The record is from RNAcentral.